UUUGGGGUCUCACCUCCUAGUAUCUCUGGAGACUGAAGCCCUCUGCCUACAGAGUCGGGAUGGCAUGGCCCAUAGCAGUGCCAGCCUCCCCAGGAUUGCUUUGCCCCCUGCCACCAUGCUCCAGUUCUGAUGUAGAGUUACUGCCUUUAGUGGACAGAUGGAAGUUCAGCUCCUUUGGUCCUAGGCCUCUCUAUCUGGGCUGCCCACAAAGUGGCCUGUUGGGUGCUGGUUUGGGUGGUGUGGGUGCAGCACUCAAUUCCCAUGAGCCACCAGCUGCUAACAGAGGACCAUGGUGGCUUAUCUAGGCUGGAGUCACACUAGCCACCUAGAGGUGAAAGGCUCCAAAUCCAUCACCUUUUCCUGCACAAGGAGACCCCUGAGUCUCUUCAGUUUGAAGGCAGUGUCCAUCCCCUAUUGAUCAGCCCAGGUGCUGGCACCCUGCCCCUGCCAUUCGGAGUGAGGAUAUGGCUCCUCUUUAUGCGGGAGCUGAGAAGCGAUGGUUGCUGCAGCUGCUUUUGUCUUAGUGCAUCACAUCUGCCUUUUGCCUGCAGAGCGAGGUGCUGCUGAGAGCGCAUCUUCAAGCCCAUGUCAUUCCAGGGCAGUUUGAAUGCCAUUCCUGUGGCUAUGCCUUCCGCCACAAGCAUCACUUGCAGCGCCACCAAGCCAGAAUGCAUGGUGUUCUCUCCAGCAGCAUGAAGAAACCAGACAGCCCCGCAGUGGAACAGCUCAGGCGCACACAGCAGGGAGACUCGGGAACAGAGCCCAGCGCACACCCUCUCAGGAGAGCAGGCUGCGAGCCUCCAAAAUACAAGAUCCUCCUGCAGCGUUAGCUGCAGUGUUGGCUUGAGAGGACAGUUUCCCCUGGCCUGGGCGCGAGGCACCAAGUAACUGUUGCUCACGGGGGCUUGGUGCAGAAGUGGGGUUGACAAAUGGAGACUCUUUCCAGCUGCAAAUGUUUCAUCGUUCCACGUAUCAUCUCCAUCCCAGAGGCUAUCAAAGAUUAGAAGCUGAAAAAAUGCACUAGCGAUGAAAUGUUCUCUGAACUCAUGCAGUCCUCCCACGCUGAAAGAUCCCAGCACAGUGCAUGGAGGGAGACAAUGUUAGAGUCCAGGAAAGCACAAAAUGAAUGUGAGGACAGGAGGGAUGAGUGAGAGGAGAGGAAGGACGAGUGAGAGGAGAGGUGGCGUCAGCGUGAUGAGAGGAGGCAGGAUGCAAUGC
This is a long non-coding RNA of Dermochelys coriacea (leatherback sea turtle), 1218 nucleotides long. RefSeq lists it as uncharacterized. The record is from RefSeq and is a predicted model, not a curated record. The transcript is spliced from 3 exons. NCBI's taxonomy places the organism in Eukaryota, Metazoa, Chordata, Testudines, Dermochelyidae.